This 254-nucleotide ribosomal RNA is filed under the name uncultured bacterium. RNAcentral's name for it is "partial 16S ribosomal RNA". It matches the Rfam family "Bacterial small subunit ribosomal RNA", at positions 524 to 776 of the family's 1533-position model. The record is from RNAcentral.
UACGUAGGGUGCAAGCGUUUGUCCGGAAUUAUUGGGCGUAAAGAGCUCGUAGGCGGUUCGUUGCGUCGGCUGUGAAAACCUGCGGCUUAACUGUGGGCUUGCAGUCGAUACGGGCAGACUUGAGUUCGGCAGGGGAGACUGGAAUUCCUGGUGUAGCGGUGAAAUGCGCAGAUAUCAGGAGGAACACCGAUGGCGAAGGCAGGUCUCUGGGCAUUAACUGACGCUGAGGAGCGAAAGCAUGGGGAGCGAACAGG